Molecule: ribosomal RNA, 305 nt
Filed under: uncultured bacterium
Lineage: Bacteria
Description: bacterial SSU rRNA
Rfam family: Bacterial small subunit ribosomal RNA
Source: RNAcentral
UGUUCCUACGGGGGGCAGCAGUGGGGAAUAUUGCACAAUGGGGGAAACCCUGAUGCAGCGACGCCGCGUGGGCGAGGAAGUACUUCGGUAUGUAAAGCUCUAUCAGCAGGGAAGAAAGAAAUGACGGUACCUGACUAAGAAGCCCCGGCUAACUACGUGCCAGCAGCCGCGGUAAUACGUAGGGGGCAAGCGUUAUCCGGAUUUACUGGGUGUAAAGGGAGCGUAGACGGUUACGCAAGUCUGGAGUGAAAGGCGGGGGCCCAACCCCCGGACUGCUUUGGAAACUGUAUAACUGGAGUGCAGGG